GUGCAGCAGGCGCGAAUACUUUACAAUGUGCGAAAGCACGAUAAGGGAACUCUGAGUGCCUCCUAAGGAGGCUGUUCAGGUGUCUAAAAGCACCUGAAGGAAGGGCUGGGUAAGACCGGUGCCAGCCGCCGCGGUAACACCGGCAGCCCAAGUGGUAGCCACGUUUAUUGGGUCUAAAGCGUCCGUAGCCGGCUGGGUAAGUUCCUUGGGAAAUUUGGCUGCUUAACAGUCAAGCUUUCAGGGAAUACUGCCCGGCUUGGGACCGGGAGAGGUCAGAGGUACUCCAGGGGUAGGGGUGAAAUCCAUUAAUCCUUGGGGGACCACCGGUAGCGAAGGCGUCUGACCAGACCGGGUCCGACGGUGAGGGACGAAGGCUAGGGGCGCGAACCGGAUUAGAUACCCCUGUAGU
Molecule: ribosomal RNA, 409 nt
Filed under: uncultured microorganism
Description: bacterial SSU rRNA
Rfam family: Archaeal small subunit ribosomal RNA
Source: RNAcentral